Molecule: ribosomal RNA, 446 nt
Filed under: uncultured bacterium
Lineage: Bacteria
Description: partial 16S ribosomal RNA
Rfam family: Bacterial small subunit ribosomal RNA
Source: RNAcentral
GCCAGACUCCUACGGGAGGCGGCAGUGGGGGAUAUUGCACAAUGGGGGGAACCCUGAUGCAGCGACGCCGCGUGGGUGAAGAAGCGCCUCGGCGCGUAAAGCCCUGUCAGCAGGGAAGAAAAUGACGGUACCUGAAGAAGAAGCCCCGGCUAACUACGUGCCAGCAGCCGCGGUAAUACGUAGGGGGCAAGCGUUAUCCGGAUUUACUGGGUGUAAAGGGGGCGCAGACGGCAGCGCAAGCCAGGAGUGAAAGCCCGGGGCCCAACCCCGGGACUGCUCUGGGAAAUGUCCGGCUGGAGUGCGGGAGGGGCAGGCGGAAUUCCUGGUGUAGCGGGGAAAUGCGUAGAUAUCAGGAGGAACACCGGCGGCGAAGGCGGCCUGCUGGACCGCGACUGACGUUGAGGCUCGAAAGCGUGGGGAGCGAACAGGAUUAGAUACCCCUGUAC